AUGCCUACUUCUUGGGAUGUGACUUUUGUUGAGUCCAUCUUCUUCGGCCUUUUAAGUGGAGUAUAUCUCUUUCCACAGUUUUCCCGACACUCUUCUCUGAUUAUUGUAGAACCAACGCCAUCAUCUCCUAUGAUUUCCUCACCUCACUUAUCACAUGAUUCUACACCUUCAUCACUGGUGGCUUCCUUGUCUCCAUCACCUAAGUUUAUCCCGAUGAUUCCAGCUCGUAUUCUUCCAUCUUUUCCUAACUUCUAUAUAGGACAUCUACGUGUUGUGGAUGCGUCUACCGAUGUGCCAUCUUCCCCAUUUCAGCCUACUUAUGGCUUGCGUCCUCGUCCGCUUUGGCAUGUUGACCGCCAAUGUCUUCCAAGCGUUGGCGAUGCUGUUCUUGAGCCAACUUCUUACUGUGAUGUUGUUCAUACCAAAUGGCACCUUGUGAUGGCAGAGGAGACUGCUGCUCUUGAGCGCAUCGGCACGUGGGAUAUUGUGUAUGUUCCUCCUCGUGUUCAUCCCAUCACUUUGUGGGUCUACAAGGUUAGGACUCACUCUAAUGGUUCUCUUGGGCGUUACAAAGCUCGUGUUGUGGGUCAUGGCUUUCAGCACGAGCAUGGUCCUGAUUACGAUGAGACUUUCUUUGACCACUGUUCGCACACUUCUUAUUAUGGCCUCUGUUCGCCACUGAUCUGUGUCUAG
This 693-nucleotide ribosomal RNA is filed under the name Triticum aestivum (bread wheat). Its description in RNAcentral is "partial small subunit ribosomal RNA". Lineage: Eukaryota; Viridiplantae; Streptophyta; Magnoliopsida; Poales; Poaceae. The record is from RNAcentral.